AGUAACUAAGUGAAUUGUUGCAUUGUCUGGGUCGUGGUUGUUGGGUCUUCUAACCGGUCCAGAUCAAUAAAUAUGUGUGUGUGUGUGUGUGUGUUAUGUGUCGAAACCACGAUCAAAGGUCCAGAUUUGAGAUUGAUUUCAUAACGAAACUCCUCUAAGAACAUUAUUAUGAAACAUUUCAAUUACAAGAAAGGCAUUUACUGUGUGUUUUCAAGACGGCUUACACCAUCUCAACAUGCCACAAGUCUCUUCCCCAACAUAGGGGAUCAUGCAAAGGCUUUGAAACGACCAAAAUGGGCACUCUAAAUGUUGGUCUCAACAAUUCUGUAACAAUCAUAACUCAGUUUCCGGUAGCAAACACUGGGGGAUAAUUGUUUUUGGUCGGUCAAACAGUCUAAUAAGAUCGACCUAAUUCAAAAGUCCAAUUGAAAACUUUGACCACUCGAACAGUCUUUCACAUAUGAUUCAUUCAUUCUUGCGAGUUAUUCCUAUUUAAUUAGAUUGAUUUGAACGUUGAAGUAUUAAUCUUGCCGGUAUAUCCUCUCUCCACCUACCAAAAACUCUCAUUAUUUACUAAAAAAAAUUCAUGACCGACUUCAUUAUCAUAUUACCAAUUUCCUAUUCCAUAUCGGAAUACCAAAAAUCUCUCUUCUUACGGAAAAAAAAAUGUUUGCCAAAUGAAGGAGACCAGAUUAGGCCGUGCUUUUAUGAUAUCAAUGCUUAAAUAAUGUCUAUGCCUAUUGAAUCACAUCACCCUUACAGAUUGUAUAAUAUUGCAAUAUUUGCUAACAUGCAAUAUUUGCUUACAGAUUGUUUAAUGUGUAUAUUUACCGCCAAGGUGAGUGCCAUGACAUUGCUAUAUACAUUUUUUGAAAAAUUAUCUUAGAUUCUUUACGAAAUCUAACAUGAACAAAAUGUUAACAUAUGGAUAAUCAGGUGUUUGAUUAUGAUGUAGAAUUUGCACAAUUUAAACUGUUUAUUGUUAAUAAUAUAUUUAAAUUCUAUCGAGAAUUAAAAUUUAAACAAAAUGGUAACUCUUAAUUAUUUAUAGUAGUUGAUCUACCUCCCCCACUCUAAAUAAUCUUAUUUGUGUGAGAGAAAAAAAGGGUACACGUACAACCUAUAAUAGAAAGAAAGACAAUUUAAUAAUAUUAUUUUAUGUUUUAUUUUAUUUCAUUACUAUUCUUUUUAGAAUACAAAAUCCAUAACUACAAAGUCCUUAAGAAUAAAAUUAAAAAAAUUAAAAUUAUUAGAAGCCAAAUUAAUAACUAAAUGACCUCUGAUAUGAAUUUGUAGGAAGAACUUAUGGUCUCAUCUUUCAACGGCACGAACAUUUUCCAGUUUCAGCAAAGGGCACAAAAAAACACUUCGGUUUUAAGGGAUUUGGGCACAUAUCAUAUGGACAUUGAAAAUCUUGGUUACAUUCAAUAACACCUGUAAUGAAAAAAUUAAUAAAAUAUUUUUACUAAAAUGAGAUAAAAUAUCACAUAUGAAGUUAAUAAGAAAAUUUGAAAAUGACUUACUUCCAAUGUUCAUUGCACCAAGAAUUAGAGAAAGAAAGAUGAUAAUAAAAUAAAUAAAUUUGACAAUUGCAACCAUUUUGUUUCCACUUUACAUGUAAGAAAUAUUAUAUAGUUUUAUCACUUUAUAAUUUAUAAUGUUC
This 1663-nucleotide long non-coding RNA is filed under the name Lathyrus oleraceus (garden pea). RNAcentral's name for it is "Pisum sativum (pea) long non-coding RNA (PSAT_LNC029821)". Lineage: Eukaryota; Viridiplantae; Streptophyta; Magnoliopsida; Fabales; Fabaceae. The record is from RNAcentral.